This 255-nucleotide ribosomal RNA is filed under the name uncultured bacterium. RNAcentral describes it as "partial 16S ribosomal RNA". It matches the Rfam family "Bacterial small subunit ribosomal RNA", at positions 29 to 310 of the family's 1533-position model. The record is from RNAcentral.
AACGGACGCUGGCGGCAGGCUUAACACAUGCAAGUCGAACGGCUGUAGCAAUACAGCAGUGGCAGACGGGUGAGUAACACGUGGGAACCUUCCUAGGGGUACGGAACAACUCAGGGAAACUUGAGCUAAUACCGUAUACGUCCGUAAGGAGAAAGAUUCAUCGCCCCUAGACGGGCCCGCGUCGGAUAGGUAGUUGGUGGGGUAACGGCCUACCAAGCCUACGAUCCGUAGCUGAUCUGAGAGGAUGAUCAGCCA